GCACUUGCCUGGCAGGGGCCACACCGUGAUCAUGAAGGUGGUUUUCCCAGGGAGAAGCUCAUCCAUUGUACUACAGAUGGGCUGACCCUUUUGAUUUCCCCAAAUGUGGGAACUCGACUGCAUACUUAGUGGUGCUCAGGGACUGCAUUUGCAUUAUCCAGU
Small nuclear RNA from Echinops telfairi (small Madagascar hedgehog), 162 nucleotides. RefSeq annotates it as U1 spliceosomal RNA. The record is from RefSeq and is a predicted model, not a curated record. The transcript has a single exon. NCBI's taxonomy places the organism in Eukaryota, Metazoa, Chordata, Mammalia, Afrosoricida, Tenrecidae.